RNAcentral lists this unclassified non-coding RNA (223 nucleotides) under plant metagenome. RNAcentral describes it as "partial contains small subunit ribosomal RNA, internal transcribed spacer 1, and 5.8S ribosomal RNA". The record is from RNAcentral.
UUUCCGUAGGUGAACCUGCGGAAGGAUCAUUAAAGAGAAUAUGCCCUUCGGGGUAGAUCUCCCACCCUUUGUUUAUAUUACCUUUGUUGCUUUGGCAGGCCCGUCUUCGGACCACCGGCUUCGGCUGGUCAGUGCUUGCCAGAGGACCCUAAACUCUUAUUAUUAAUGUCGUCUGAGUACUAUAUAAUAGUUAAAACUUUCAACAACGGAUCUCUUGGUUCUG